GUCGGUCUGACGAUUGCUAGGGUGGCCGAAAGACUUUCCUGGCCAAUGCACCAAUUUUGUUGCAUAAAUCUAUGCUGGGUUCUUUGCUCUUGGAUAGGUGUUCCAGACCCCCCCUCAUACACCUGGCAAGGAAAAGGGAGUGAGAAGCACAUGGAGGAAGAAUCAAAUAUAUUCAUCGUUUGUCCUGAUUAGAUAAGGUACAGUCAUAAGUUGCAAGAACGCUGACAGAACAUAGAGAGAGGGAGAGAAUGGAACGUUGGCUCUGUGUAAGCAGAUAAGAUGAAGGAGAGAGCUAGCAGGACCUUUUUGGCAACAAGUUUGGCAGGCAGAGCCGUGCAGAGACAAAACUAGUUACCUGCGAGUGUGGCACACCAACAACUUUGUCAUUUGCACGCCAUGGCUUCCUUGGACAGAUUACAGGCCUGCCUUCAGUGGUUAUCGAGCUGUCUUUCUAAAUGAGCAACCCUGGGCUCCAAAUGAAUGUUUAAUUUUCUCCUGUAAAAUACUGGCUGAUUAAUCUCCAUUUUGUAAGCUACAUAGCAUUUGGGAAAGAUAAAUAAAGACAUUUAGCAAUAA
Long non-coding RNA from Podarcis raffonei (Aeolian wall lizard), 576 nucleotides. RefSeq lists it as uncharacterized. The transcript is spliced from 2 exons. NCBI's taxonomy places the organism in Eukaryota, Metazoa, Chordata, Lepidosauria, Squamata, Lacertidae. The record is from RefSeq and is a predicted model, not a curated record.